UACGUAGGGUGCAAGCGUUAAUCGGAAUUACUGGGCGUAAAGCGUGCGCAGGCGGUUAUGUAAGACAGGUGUGAAAUCCCCGGGCUUAACCUGGGAACUGCAUUUGUGACUGCAUCGCUGGAGUGCGGCAGAGGGGGAUGGAAUUCCGCGUGUAGCAGUGAAAUGCGUAGAUAUGCGGAGGAACACCGAUGGCGAAGGCAAUCCCCUGGGCCUGCACUGACGCUCAUGCCACGAAAGCCGUGGGGAGCGAAACAAGG
This 257-nucleotide ribosomal RNA is filed under the name uncultured bacterium. RNAcentral's name for it is "partial 16S ribosomal RNA". It matches the Rfam family "Bacterial small subunit ribosomal RNA", at positions 524 to 777 of the family's 1533-position model. The record is from RNAcentral.